UCAAUCAUUCAACUUCAAUUUAUUUUGUCCACUCAAAUAAAUUUAUUCAACCGUCAAAAUAUUAACCGUUAUAUUUUUAUAUGAUUUUGUCAUUGCCAUCUCGAUCAUACUGUUAACUGUUCCAAGGAGGAUAAUAAACUGUUCCAAUACUCUGUUACAGAAUGUAGUAUCUGUUCCAUUUCCAAUUUCCAAAUUAUUAAUGGUAUGGAAGUUUUGAAUGAAUAUUAGCCUACAACUACAAGCACUACAGACCUUCACCUUCCAGUCUUAUGUUUAGUUAGGACCUUAUUAUGUGAUGAAAAUGUAAUUUUAUUUAGUAUUAUACUGUUGAGUGUUUUUCUAAUAAGUGAUAAUUGAGUUUCUUAUCUAAAAUAUUAAAAAGUGAAUAUAGAAUUAUCCUCUUGCAAUAAUUGCUGUAAUAGCCAGUCUAGAGCUGUUCUUGAAGAAUGGAGUGCAAGAAUAUUCCAGCUAAGUUCCAUCGUGAAAGAGUUGGCGUUGCAUCUAGAGCAGAUGCUACAUUCACCCAUAACAAGAUCGAAGUUGAACUGGUUUGUCGCCGCUUCAACGGAACUUGCUAUUAUACCACACAACCUAGAACAUCACCAUCUAGUGAUGUCAUCUCUUAAUCCAAUUUCCAUCACCAUCAUCAUAAACCAGGCUCCAUCAUAGAUUACUUCUGCUCAGACUUGGAUCACCAUGCUAUAAUAAGUCAAUUGAUAACAUAUCCGAUAUGUCAAUAAUCCUCAUUUUAUAGUAAACCCUUGAGAUUGAAGUGCUUACUUGAAAAGGUGACGGUCAUCCCGAAUUUAUGUUUCUUGAAUUAUCUUUGUCCGGUUGUGAAUCACCCAGAAUUGUGCAUGGGUUUUUGCCAGAUCAAUGUGAAUGAAGUUUACCAUAAAAAUAUUUCAAGGGACGGUUUCCGAGCUCGGGAUUUAGCUAAGUUCUAGACUUUAAACAGCUGGAGUCAGAAAACUGGCUUUCUGAAACGGGGCCUCGUCAUAGUCCACGUUUAAAUUAAACUUCGAAAAACUAGAAAGUUGAACACAAAAUAAAAUAACGAGUAAAUUGUGUAAAGUUUCAGCUAUUUUAAUUAUUUAUGAAUGCUUCAUUUAGUCAAAAAACGUUACCAACAUUUUAGAAAUGAGAAAAUAAAUAUCUUAAAAACCAUGACUACGCUCCAUUUCGGAAAGCCAAUUUUCUGACUCCAGCUGUUUAAAGUCUAGAACUAAGCUAAAUCUCGAGCUCGGAAGCCGGCCCUAUAAUUAUGUCUCCUAGUUGCUUUACUUUCAAGUUACUUAAACAUAAAUUUAUUCUAAUAAAUUUUUUUUUAUACAGUGAUGAAAAAUCGUUAGCGAUCCAUACUGAUAUUUCCAUCAGUCAAUAAAUGAAAUUAAUAAUCAUGUAAUAGGAAAAAAGACUUACCACUUUUGUAUUAACUUAUUGUUAACAAGAUAGCUGACAAACAAGGCUCUCUGGGCCGCUUUUGGUAAAGUGAGGAAGUUGUUUUUCAAAUUGAUAAUUACAUUCUACUGGAAGCGGCUGGAGAGGUGUCUACACGAAGAAACUAUUAUUCUACACAUAUCAUAUAGUUAAGUUAGUUGAGUUGAAAAUGUAUUUAUACAGAGUAAGUCAUAAUGUAUGGGAACCCUUCAAUAAGUUGGAGACUGUUGUAGUUAUAAUACUGUAACUUUCAGGAUAAGUUAUUGGACGAAUACUCUACCUUUUGACG
Molecule: long non-coding RNA, 1729 nt
Organism: Nilaparvata lugens (brown planthopper)
Lineage: Eukaryota; Metazoa; Arthropoda; Insecta; Hemiptera; Delphacidae
Exons: 3
Source: RefSeq, a predicted model, not a curated record